Molecule: non-coding RNA, 3803 nt
Organism: Peromyscus maniculatus bairdii (prairie deer mouse)
Lineage: Eukaryota; Metazoa; Chordata; Mammalia; Rodentia; Cricetidae
Source: RefSeq, a predicted model, not a curated record
UAAAUGUAGAUAAUCUGACAUAUUUUUCCUUAUGUAUAUGGGAAAGUAUCACUACAGUCAAUAAGUGUUCAUAACUAUUAGUUCUCAAAGUUUACUUAAGACUCUCAUAAUCCAUCACCCUUCUGUUGGCAACUAAUAAGCUGGUUGGCCUCUAUGGCUGAAUUUAGUUGCAUUUUCUUUUGUAAUUUUUUUGAGAUUAUAAUAUAAUUACAUCAUUUCCCCGUUUUCUUUCUCCCCUCUAAGCCCUUGAAUACCCCCCACCUUUCUCUCCUUCAAAUUCAUAACUUCUUUUUCUUUAAUUGUAGUUACAUACCGUGUGUGUGUGUGUGUGUGUGUGUGUGUGUGUGUUCCUAAAUAGAACCUGCUCAGUCUGUGUAAUAUUGACUUGUAUGUUGUGUUUCCAGAGUCAUUAUAGUAUCAUACAGAAUAGUUCACUGCCCUGAAAACUCUAUGAUGCUAUGGUUAACUUGUUUGUUUGUUUGUUUGUUUUUGAGACAGGGUCUCACUAUGCACUCCUGCUGGCCUGAAGCUAGCUGUGUAGAUCCAGGCUGGCCUCAAACUCACAGAGAUCUGCCUGCUUCAGUCUCCCUAGUGCUGGGAUGAAAGGGUAUGCCAACAUGCUCAGCCUGUGCUUAGCUUUUAAAGAAACUUCUUCCCUGUUUUGUGAAGUGGCUGUGUGUUUAACAUUCCUGCCAAUGGUGCGGGAGCCCAGCUCCUCUGCACUCCUUUUUAUUUGCUUGCUUGCUUUUUGAGGUUCUGGGGAUCAGCCCCAGGCCUUUUGUGUGUUUCAUAAGUGCUCUGCCACUGAGCCAUACUGCUAGCCCUCCUCUAUAUUAUUUAACAACAUUUGGGAUAGCGAGACCUUUUAAUGUUAGUUGUGUGAUGUGAUCUCAUUGCAGUCUGAUUUUUUCUUAUUUGCCACCGGAAUAUCUUUGGUGAAGUGUCUGAAGUACAUGGUAAAAAGGGUUUUGUUAAAAAUCCUUGGCCCGUUUUUUACCUACAAGCCCUUUCUCAAGUAUUUGCUGCAUAAAGAUUUUCUCCCAGAUUGUCUGUUACCUUCAUUCUGUCAGCAGUGUCUUUUUUUUUUCCUUUCUCUUGUUUGUUGAUUUAGUAUCUAUGCAGCCCAAGCUGGUCAGACUAGAACUUCCAUCUCAGCCUCCCAGAUGUGGGAUGUACUACCAUGCAUGGCUAGUUUUAGAUUUGAUGGCUUGUUUUAUAAUUUCUUACAUACAUACAUACAUACACACACACACACACACACACACACACACACACACACAUACACACACACAUAUAUGUGUAAGAUAGGGCAUGGGUGUGCCACCGUGCAUGUGUGGAGGUCUGAGGACAACAUUCUUUCCACCCUGUGAGUCCUGGGGAAGGAGUGUCAGCAGGGGACUCCUUUUCCAGCUAAGCCAUCCUGUUGUCCUCCUCCCUCCCUUUCUGGACGGUGGUAAGGGAUUGAAUCCGAGACUUCACACAUGCUAGGCAAGCCCUGUACUUUGAGAUAGGCCCCAGCCCUGCUUCUCUGUUCUUUUCUUAAAAUUGACAUGGCUUAAAAACAACAACAACAACAACAAAAAAAAACAAAACAAAACAAAACAAAACAAAAAAACCCCACCAAACACUGUUUUGAUUCCUUUAGCUUUUUAAUAAAUUUGGAAGUCAGGCAGUGUUGUCCUUCAAGGCUGUUGUGGCUACUCUGUAAAUUCCUUGAAUGACCAUGUAAAUGUUAAAACUAGCUUGUCAGUUUUUGUACAGAAACCCACCAGAAGCCUGGGUAUGGUGUCACAGACCUCUAAGCCCAACACUUGGAAGGCAGAGACAGAAGAAUUGCAAGUUCAAAUGUGAAGUCAGCCUGCACCACACAUGGAGGCCUUGCUUUAACACAAAAAUAGCAAACCAACCAACUGAAAAAAAUCUUCCCUGAGACGUGGGGCCUCCGGUCACGGUCAGCUGACCUUGAUGCUUUGAGCAAUGUGGCACAUCACGUGGCUGUUUCAGGGCAUGCAGUCUCAACUUUGGCCCGUCACAGCCUGCCUUCGAAUGAUGCUACACUUGGUAUGUUAUAACCUCAGAGAUGCAGCCUGCCUUCGAAUGACGCUACACUUGGUAUGUUAUAACCUCAGAGAUGCAGCCUGCCUUCGAAUGACGUUACACUUGGACCACCAUAAGCAAGUGCAAUUAAAUAGUGAUGCAUUAUCUAGCAGAGGCUGCUGGGUACAUUUCCUUCUCAGAAGAAGCAUGAAGACAUCUGUCUGUAACUAAAGCACUAUGGCACCCCCACUGACCUCCCUCAUAUCGGGUCCUCAUGUAUAAGAGAAAUGAGCACACAAAGACAUCCUGGUUAUAGAUUGGUAAAACCAGAGCCUCUGGCUUGAGACUUAACUCGAAGUCUUCUACGGUCAUGAUGCACUUUUGUGUAUUGGGCCUUGUGCUCAGUGAAAGGGUUUUUGAAAAGGUUGUCCCUUUCUGGUGGAAAGACUUCACGGUGGUGUGAUCCUGCUUCCCUCGUCCCACUUCCACAGCCAGCUGUUCCUGUUGGAAUUGGCCACAAAGGAGUAUUUACACCACGGGAACUGGGAUGUGCUACAAAACGGCAUCUUUUGUUCCUUGGUAGAGACCCUUAAACACAUUGCCAAUCUUUACCAUGAGAGACAUUUUCCCACGGCCCGCAAAGCCCGACCAUUGAUCCUUCUAGUGGCUUGUUCUACUCAAUUAAACAAGGCUUGUACCGGACUCACCAAUUUCACUUCAGAUAAGGACUUGGGACCACCUCACACAAUCCCUAGAGGCCGAAUCCUGAGCUCCAAUUCCACCCAAUCCAAGCAGCAUCCUCCCUUCGGCAGAGGAAAGGGUACCAGGAUUCACCUUGGACUUUUUAAUCUAACUGGAAUUUUUUUUUUUUUUUUUUUUUUUUUUAACUACAAGCUCCACGGGAGGAGCCUCUAUGCCUAAUUAAAGACUCUGUCUCUUUCUGGACAGAGAAAAAGAGAACUCAUUUGCUCGCUGACUGUUACUGCCCUGCAGGGGUCAAUCUAGACACUGCAGUCACACAAUCACGCAGUGAGAGCGCAGGAGAGAGGCACACACAAGUACGUGACAGCACGUGUCGGGAGGGGCUCUGCGUGACCGUGAAUGGGCCCGUUGACUCGUUGUAUGGGACUAUGACAGAAUGCUUGAAAGUGAGUAUUUUGUAAAGACAAGAAGUUUGCUCAAAGCUCAGAUUUGGAGGUUGGGAUCCAAGAGCACCCAACGUCACCUGCUUGGCUCUAGGGAGGCCUGAACUCCGUUUGCUGGUUUUGUUUUGUUUCUUAUUGUUGUUUUGGGUUCGCUUCCUUAAGUAAUGGCUUUCUUUUAAGAAAACGGGUUAAGGUCCCAGGAAACUAUGCUAACCUCUGCAGAGGGUGACACCCUCAGUAGCCCGACCACCUCUUGUGUGGCAGUUUCUCCCAGGGUGGAUGUGGUCAUCGCCAUCUUGAAUUAGCACAACUCUGACUGCUCACAGGAGGUCCCCCUAUGAGAUGGGACCUAACAUUCCCAGGUGGAAGGUAGGAAAGGCUCCGAGGGGAGUGAGGUUCACAAGGUGCGUAGGAUCUCUCCCCUCACUGAGGAUGCAGGAGUAGUUAACUGCAGGGGGGGUGGUCUUCUUCGGUGGUGUACCUGCUUGUGAGUCAUUCAUGUGAGUAAUCCCAACAAACUCAUUGGCUCACCAAGCUGGACCUGGUGAUGAUUUCUUUGAUCUGUCAUUGCCAUAUCCGGGGUGACUAGAAAUAGAUUCAUCAGGAAGAGUCAUAUAACAA